AAUAUUGGUCAAUGGACGCAAGUCUGAACCAGCCAUGCCGCGUGGAGGAUGACAGCCUUCUGGGUUGUAAACUUCUUUUAUAUGGGAAGAAAAGUACGGUAUCUACUGUAUCCGACGGUACCAUAUGAAUAAGCACCGGCUAACUCCGUGCCAGCAGCCGCGGUAAUACGGAGGGUGCAAGCGUUAUCCGGAUUUACUGGGUUUAAAGGGUGUGUAGGCGGAUAUUUAAGUCAGUGGUGAAAUCUCCGGGCUCAACCCGGAAACUGCCGUUGAUACUAUUUAUCUUGAAUUCUGUUGAGGUGGGCGGAAUACAUCAUGUAGCGGUGAAAUGCUUAGAUAUGAUGUAGAACACCGAUUGCGAAGGCAGCUCACUAAGCAGACAUUGACGCUGAGGCACGAAAGCGUGGGGAUC
Molecule: ribosomal RNA, 412 nt
Filed under: uncultured bacterium
Lineage: Bacteria
Description: bacterial SSU rRNA
Rfam family: Bacterial small subunit ribosomal RNA
Source: RNAcentral